AUUGAACGCUGGCGGCAGGCCUAACACAUGCAAGUCGAACGGCAGCGGGGGAUAGCUUGCUAUCCUGCCGGCGAGUGGCGGACGGGUGAGUAAUGCAUGGGGAGCUGCCCAAUCGAGGGGGAUAACAACUGGAAACGGUUGCUAAUACCGAAUACGCCUUGCGGGGGAAAGGUGGGGACCUCCGGGCCUACCGCGAUUGGAUGCACCCAUGUGGGAUUAGCUGGUUGGUGAGGUAACGGCUAACCAAGGCGACGAACUCUAGCUGGUCUGAGAGGAUGACCAGCCACACUGGAACUGAGACACGGUCCAGACUCCUACGGGAGGCAGCAGUGGGGAAUAUUGCACAAUGGGGGAAACCCUGGUGCAGCCAUGCCGCGUGUGUGAAGAAGGCCUUCGGGUUGUAAAGCACUUUCAGUGGGGAGGAAGGGGAGUAAGCUAAUAACUUGCUUCAUUGACGUUACCCACAGAAGAAGCACCGGCUAACUCCGUGCCAGCAGCCGCGGUAA
This 506-nucleotide ribosomal RNA is filed under the name uncultured bacterium. Its description in RNAcentral is "partial 16S ribosomal RNA". It matches the Rfam family "Bacterial small subunit ribosomal RNA", at positions 29 to 523 of the family's 1533-position model. The record is from RNAcentral.